UAGACCGGAGCUGUUCCUGUUCGGCCAUC
Molecule: non-coding RNA, 29 nt
Filed under: Homo sapiens (human)
Lineage: Eukaryota; Metazoa; Chordata; Mammalia; Primates; Hominidae
Source: RNAcentral